Salvia splendens (bonfire salvia) is the source of this 930-nucleotide long non-coding RNA. RefSeq lists it as uncharacterized. NCBI's taxonomy places the organism in Eukaryota, Viridiplantae, Streptophyta, Magnoliopsida, Lamiales, Lamiaceae. The transcript has 2 exons. The record is from RefSeq and is a predicted model, not a curated record.
UGUGAGUGAACCCUACUUUGUUUCAUCUCCUUCCUCUAUAAAGUUGCCUUCUCUCUCCCUCUCACACAUAACAAUAACACACACCUUGUGCUAUAGUGGUCCUUCUCACUAUGUAUGGGCUUGCAAUUUUUAAUUUCUUCCUCUCUCUCUCUUCUUUCCUCCAUUUCUGUUAUCACUUUUUUUUUUCUUGCCUGUUAUCACUUAACUGGCUAGUCAAGAAGAAUUAAAAAGCUCACUUCAUGCUUUUCCACAGCUUUCUUGAACUACAAAUUGCUAAUUGAUCAAGAUCAAGAAUUUGGGGUUUUCAGUUCAAGAAAGUUGUGGGAAAACAUGGUGAUUCUGGGCUACUUUUAUCUCCACCAAUGCAGCCACAUUCUUGAAUAAUUCCACAUUCUUGGAGAGUGUUAUGAACUUCAGCAACAAGGUGUACGACAUGAAGGGGAAGAAGAAAGAGACAGUCGGGGGAGGCGUCUGAAGCUAGGCGGACGAUGAGUACCUACUCCAUAGAGGAGUCGAUUGCUUUUGCUCAUUGUUGGACAUAGAUCUUUGAGGACCCAAUUGUAGCCAACAAUUUCGAGGGCGGUUUCUGGAGGCGUAUCAUGAAAAGAUACGAACAAGUAAAGCCCGCAGGGGCCCGACACACCAGCCCGACGAUCUACGCAAGCAUUGGAAACGGCUGGCAUAUGAGUGUGCUAAAUUUCAUGAUUUCUACGAUGGCAAUGCGAGAGGGUUCAAGUACGAGGAAAUAUAUCUGCAACUGAAGGAUUGCCCCAAAUUCAUAGGGUUAAUGGGUCGUGUCGGGGAGGACGAGCCGGAACCCGAGUGCUUCUGAGUUUGUGCUUCCGUUGUUUUUUAUUAUGCUUUCUAUCUUUAUCUUUUUUUAAUGUAUGAUGUUUUAUUUUGUUUUUAAUGAAUUUGUUUUUUGUCGUA